GAGUGAUGAAAGACUUCAUUUAUCUUUGUUAUGUAAAGCUUCAAAUAAAAAUCUUUGUUCACAGAAAUGGGUGGUACAAACUAUCUGUGAUAGGGCUAUAGCUGGAAAAGUUCAUGAGAACCAUUAUUUCUACUACUGGUUUGGACUGCCAUCCAGUGUCCAGAGUGAUAAUGGACUUGUCUUUGUAGCUGAAGUUAUACAACAAGUUGCCUCCCCACCUUGAAACUUCACUGAAUCCAUUCCAAGCAGGAGAUAAGGUGCUUCUGAAGGUGUGGAAGGAAAAAGGACCAGAACAACAACUUGAAGAAAAGUUGAAAGGAUCCUAGGAUGUGUUAUUAACCACCCAUACAUCCUUUAAGUUGACAGAUAUAAGACUGUGGGUGCACCACACUAGAGUAAAGAAGUGCCAGACGAUUUCUAGUCACAGGCACCUUCUCCUGAUAAGUGGGAAAGCAGACCAUUGGAGGGUUUUAAGCUGCUCUUCAAAAAACAGCCAUGAGAUACAUCACAUUGCUAAUUCAUCUGUAUUCCUUACAUUUUCCAGUUAUUGCCUGACUGGACAACUCCCAACUCCCUGGUAUGCAUUGCACAAACCAUUGCUAAUGCAAUGCAAGAUGUGGACUGCUGGAUUUGUCUUCCUUGAGCUCAGUCCACUCCGGGUCAUGGGGACCCCCUGGUGCAUCCUGUAUCAGACUUUACCCAAGUCCCUGAUGGGGACUGGGUCCCUAAGUGAGACCUUCGGGCUCGCAACCUUAUGUACCACAUAUGCAUCAGUCACUUCCCUCAUGAGAACUUUUCUAAAAUUGCCUGUCUUAUGCUUCCUCUCUCCACCAGUACUGUUCUAUAUUGGAUCCAGGGCACCCAGUAGAUACCUGAAUACUUUGAAAUGACUUUGCCUCCACCCUCAAGGCAACUCCCUAUGUGUGUUCAGCAGUCCACCAGAUACCCAGUGGAAGAAAUUAAAUCCAUGGUUGACUAUUCAUUUCUGGAGAGAUCCUGGAUGGAAUGAACUGGAUUCAAAGUUGGUUACUAUUUCUAGACUAAUAGCUCUGUCAGCUACUACACUCACAAUGAAGGUGAAAGACUUAAGAGUAACCCCAGUUCCUGGAAGUCUGGAUAUACAACUAAGGGGUAGAGUUCUUGUGUCCUGCAGCUGGCUGGCAAUAAAGAAGAAAAACCUCUGCAUCAGCAGAAAAGCUUCCUGGCACCAGAAUCCACUAUCCACCAGGGAGGAAGACAAUCAAGGACAUCUAACCUGUGGAUUCCCUUAUGUCACCAUCCUCCUCCCUGCAAACAGUCUCACAAAGCCAAACGCAGGCUGGUGGGAAAGCGCCGACCAGCAAGGCCACAGGCUCCCCCUCCCUAUAAGCAGCCAUAUUCCUCACAACCUUUAAAACCCCUUAUCCACUUCUUAAUGGGGUGCCAGCAGUUCCUAAGGCACUAUCCUGCUGCUGCUCCCUUUGCCUAGCAAAAAAAAAAGUAAGCUUUUUUUUCUUUUCAUUUUCACCCAAAACUCUGUUCUCGUUAUUUGGAUUGGUACUGAGUUCAGAGACCGAACUUUCGGUAACAUAACUAGAAAGCUCAGGAGAAGCAUAAGUCCUGUAGAGGAUAACAGCACUAUAAUUACAAUUUUCAUUGGAGACCUGAUCUAGCUAUUUCAUUCUAAACUUCUGAUUCCAACUAGAAGAUAAAUCUUAAGUGGGCAAUAGAAACUUCUGGGCCAUACAUGAUGUCAUUCACUUCUCCAAAUAUAGGACUUUUAUAGGAAAUGCUUUCAUAUCACAUUUCUGGUCCUCUAAUACCUUAGAUCAGCCUCUCUAGAAUCAUGCUCUGUGAUGGGGAUUCUCCUUCAAGUGUUUUAUAAAGAUGAUGCUCUGAAAGAAAAGUGUUAGGGAAGAAAGGAAGUAGGACAGGGAGGGAAAAGAGCUAAGGAAGAAUGUGUUUUUGCUAGAAUGUAAUGUGAACCCAUCCACACAGGUAUUUCUGGAACACGAAUUUUACCAUUGAGUAAAUUUUAUGAUCAGACAAGAAGAAUGCCCUUUUGUUAGCCCUGCUCAGCAUCCCAGUAUCAAUCAGUCAUUGACUGUAGGCUGUUUUAGUGAGCAAUUGUUGGAGGGACGGAGGAGAAGGAUUAUAAAAUCAUCUAGCCUUGAAUGCUUACUCAAGUUGAUCCAAGGACAAUUCUCAAGAGUGCAGCUGUGACCCAGCAGCAGCCUACCAUCAUGUCAGAUUAAAUGAAGAGGGGUAUAGCCAGCUAGGGGGAUGGGUGCACCAGGCCACUAAAGGAAAUCUGGGACAGAGUCUCCUAUACUAAAUAAAUAUGGCAUGAUAUUCCUGUUAUGCUUAGCCACUUUUAAAGAGGAAACAAAAAUAAUAAAG
This 2379-nucleotide long non-coding RNA is filed under the name Equus caballus (horse). Its description in RNAcentral is "lncRNA (ENSECAG00000055311.1)". Lineage: Eukaryota; Metazoa; Chordata; Mammalia; Perissodactyla; Equidae. The record is from RNAcentral.